RNAcentral lists this ribosomal RNA (434 nucleotides) under uncultured bacterium. RNAcentral describes it as "bacterial SSU rRNA". It matches the Rfam family "Bacterial small subunit ribosomal RNA", at positions 340 to 765 of the family's 1533-position model. The record is from RNAcentral.
UACGGGAGGCAGCAGUGGGGAAUAUUGCACAAUGGGCGCAAGCCUGAUGCAGCCAUGCCGCGUGUAUGAAGAAGGCCUUCGGGUUGUAAAGUACUUUCAGUCGUGAGGAAGGUGUUAAGGUUAAUAACCUUAGCAAUUGACGUUAGCGACAGAAGAAGCACCGGCUAACUCCGUGCCAGCAGCCGCGGUAAUACGGAGGGUGCGAGCGUUAAUCGGAAUUACUGGGCGUAAAGGGCACGCAGGCGGUUAAUUAAGUUGGAUGUGAAAUCCCCGGGCUUAACCUGGGAAUGGCAUUCAAGACUGGUUAGCUAGAGUCUUGUAGAGGGGGUAGAAUUCCAUGUGUAGCGGUGAAAUGCGUAGAGAUGUGGAGGAAUACCGGUGGGCGAAGGCGGCCCCUGGGACAAAGGACUGACGCUCAUGUGCGAAAGCGUGGG